CGGUGGAUCAUGUUGUUUAAUUCGAUGAUACGCGAAGAACCUUACCAGGUCUUGACAUCCCCCGCGAUGCUUUAGAGAUAAAGCGGAGGUAUUCGGGGAGACAGGUGGUGCAUGGUUGUCGUCAGCUCGUGUCGUGAGAUCGUUGGGUUAAGUCCCGCAACGAGCGCAACCCCUAUUGCUAGUUACCAUCAUUAAGUUGGGGACUCUAGCGAGACUGCCAGUGAUAAACUGGAGGAAGGUGGGGAUGACGUCAAAUCAUCAUGCCCCUUAUGACCUGGGCUACAAACGUGAUACAAUGGCUGGAACAAAGGGAUGCGAAGCAGUGAUGUGGAGCGAAACCCAUAAAACCAGUCUCAGUUCGGAUUGAAGUCUGCAACUCGACUUCAUGAAGUCGGAAUCGCUAGUAAUCGCGGAUCAGAACGCCGCGGUGAAUACGUUCUCGGGUUU
RNAcentral lists this ribosomal RNA (447 nucleotides) under uncultured Acholeplasma sp. RNAcentral's name for it is "bacterial SSU rRNA". It matches the Rfam family "Bacterial small subunit ribosomal RNA", at positions 930 to 1381 of the family's 1533-position model. Lineage: Bacteria; Bacillati; Mycoplasmatota; Mollicutes; Acholeplasmatales; Acholeplasmataceae. The record is from RNAcentral.